ACUGGAAGGUUGGCAUCUUCUGUAAUCACGCUUCUGUGAGGUCGGGUUGUGUGAAUGGUCUGAGGCUGGGGUUCCUGUGUGGUGGAGUUCCCCGUGUUGACGGAACGUCCGCACUAAGCUUGCCGUCAAUAUGGGUGCCACGGGUGAUCCCGAGGCACUCAGGUUAGCUAAGGAGGGAUGUAACGGGCCAGGGGUGAAAAUCAGCAGCCAAGAGUUCCCGCGGUAAGCAGUAGUGGGAUAGCGUACCGGAGUGGGGUGCCACUGCCAGCCUAGCCAAUACGAUUGGACCACAACCUUU
Molecule: signal recognition particle RNA, 298 nt
Filed under: Glossina brevipalpis
Lineage: Eukaryota; Metazoa; Arthropoda; Insecta; Diptera; Glossinidae
Description: metazoan signal recognition particle RNA
Rfam family: Metazoan signal recognition particle RNA
About the family: The signal recognition particle (SRP) is a universally conserved ribonucleoprotein. It is involved in the co-translational targeting of proteins to membranes. The eukaryotic SRP consists of a 300-nucleotide 7S RNA and six proteins: SRPs 72, 68, 54, 19, 14, and 9.
Source: RNAcentral